This 484-nucleotide ribosomal RNA is filed under the name uncultured methanogenic archaeon. RNAcentral describes it as "bacterial SSU rRNA". It matches the Rfam family "Archaeal small subunit ribosomal RNA", at positions 859 to 1332 of the family's 1478-position model. The record is from RNAcentral. Lineage: Archaea; Methanobacteriati; Methanobacteriota.
GCAAGCUGAACUAAAGAAUGGCGGGGAGCACCACAACGGGUGGAGCUGCGGUUUAAUGGGCUCAACGCCGGGCAGCUCACCGGAUAGGACAGCGGAAUGAUAGCCGGGCUGAAGACCUUGCUUGACUAGCUGAGAGGAGGUGCAUGGCCGUCGUCAGUUCGUACUGUGAAGCAUCCUGUUUAGUCAGGCAACGAGCGAGACCCACGCCAACAGUUGCUAGCAUGUUCUCCGGAAUGAUGAGGACACUGUUGGGACCGCCUCUGCUAAAGGUGGGGGUGAAAAAUGGGCAACGGUAGGUCAGCAUGCCCCGAAUUAUCCGGGCUACACGCGGGCUACAAUGGUCAGGACAAUGGGAAACGGCACUGAAAAGUGUAGUCAAUCUCCUAAACCUGUCCCAAGUUCGGAUUGUGGGCUGCAACUCGCCCACAUGAAGCUGGAAUCCGUAGUAAUCGCGUUUCAAAAUAGCGCGGUGAAUAAGUCCCUG